UAUCCGGGAGACACACGGCGGGUGCUAACGUCCGUCGUGGAGAGGGAAACAACCCAGACCGCCAGCUAAGGUCCCAAAGUAUAGCUAAGUGGGAAACGAUGUGGGAAGGCUCAGACAGCCAGGAUGUUGGCUUAGAAGCAGCCAUCAUUUAAAGAAAGCGUAAUAGCUCACUGGUCGAGUCGGCCUGCGCGGAAGAUGUAACGGGGCUAAGCUAUACACCGAAGCUGCGGCAUCAUAGUUUACUAUGAUGGGUAGGGGAGCGUUCUGUAAGCCGUUGAAGGUGAACUGAGAAGUUUGCUGGAGGUAUCAGAAGUGCGAAUGCUGACAUGAGUAACGAUAAAGGGAGUGAAAAACUCCCUCGCCGGAAGACCAAGGGUUCCUGUCCAACGUUAAUCGGGGCAGGGUAAGUCGACCCCUAAGGCGAGGCUGAAAAGCGUAGUCGAUGGGAAACGGGUUAAUAUUCCCGUACUUCUUACAAAUGCGAUGGGGGGACGGAGAAGGCUAGGUGGGCCUGGCGAUGGUUGUCCAGGUUCAAGUGCGUAGGCUAAUUUCUUAGGUAAAUCCGGGAAAUUGUUAGGCUGAGACACGACGUCGAGCUACUACGGUAGUGAAGUCAUUGAUGCCAUGCUUCCAGGAAAAGCCUCUAAGCUUCAGUUUGUAAG
Molecule: ribosomal RNA, 662 nt
Filed under: Vibrio parahaemolyticus
Lineage: Bacteria; Pseudomonadati; Pseudomonadota; Gammaproteobacteria; Vibrionales; Vibrionaceae
Description: partial 23S ribosomal RNA
Rfam family: Bacterial large subunit ribosomal RNA
Source: RNAcentral